AGGCCCUGACGGCGUACCUUUUGUAUAAUGGGUCAGCGACUUAGUUUUGCGAGCGAGCUUAAGCCGUUAGGUGUAGGCGAAGCGAAAGCGAGUCUGAACAGGGCGUUCAGUUCGUAGGACUAGACCCGAAACCGAGUGAUCUAGCCAUGGGCAGGUUGAAGGUGGAGUAACACCCACUGGAGGACCGAACCCACGUCUGUUGAAAAAGACGGGGAUGACCUGUGGCUAGGGGUGAAAGGCCAAUCAAACUCGGAAAUAGCUGGUUCUCCGCGAAAGCUAUUUAGGUAGCGCGUCGUGUGAUUACCUGCGGGGGUAGAGCACUGGAUCGGGACGGGGGGCGCGAGCCUUACCAACUCGAACCAAACUCCGAAUACCGCAGAGUACAGCACGGCAGACAGACUCCGGGUGCUAAGGUCCGGGGUCAAGAGGGAAACAGCCCAGACCGCCAGCUAAGGUCCCCAAGUCGUAGCUAAGUGGGAAAGGAUGUGGGACGGCCAAAACAACCAGGAGGUUGGCUUAGAAGCAGCCAUCCUUUAAAGAAAGCGUAACAGCUCACUGGUCUAAUAGCUGUCCUGCGCCGAAGAUGUACCGGGGCUCAAGCUACGCACCGAAGCUGCGGACUUGUCUUUGACAAGUGGUAGCGGAGCGUUCCGUAGGCCUGCGAAGGUGAACCGUGAGGUUUGCUGGAGGUAUCGGAAGCGAGAAUGCUGACAUGAGUAGCGAUAAACAGGGUGAGAAACCCUGUCGCCGAAAGUCCAAGGGUUCCUGCGCAAGGCUAAUCCGCGCAGGGUGAGCCGGCCCCUAAGGCGAGGCCGAAAGGCGUAGCCGAUGGGAACCAGGUUAAUAGUCCUGGGCCUGUGGGAAGUGACGCGCCCCGUAAGUCGUUUCUCCUUAUCGGAUUGGAGAGGCGGCGAAGGGGGGCCUGGAAAUAACUCCCACGUAUAGACCGUACCCGAAACCGACACAGGUGGACUGGUAGAGUAUACCAAGGCGCUUGAGAGAAUGGUGUUGAAGGAACUAGGCAAAAUACCCCCGUAACUUCGGGAGAAGGGGGCCUUCCUGUUGGGCAACCAGCAGGGAGGGGCACAGACCAGGGGGUGGCGACUGUUUACUAAAAACACAGGGCUCUGCGAAGUCGCAAGACGACGUAUAGGGUCUGACGCCUGCCCGGUGCCGGAAGGUUAAGAGGAGGGGUUCACGCUCUGAAUCGAAGCCCCGGUAAACGGCGGCCGUAACUAUAACGGUCCUAAGGUAGCGAAAUUCCUUGUCGGGUAAGUUCCGACCUGCACGAAUGGCGUAACGACUUCCCCGCUGUCUCCAACACCAACUCAGCGAAAUUGAAUUCUCCGUGAAGAUGCGGAGUUCCCGCGGUUAGACGGAAAGACCCCGUGAACCUUUACUACAGCUUCGCAGUGGCAUCAGGGUUCGAAUGUGUAGGAUAGGUGGGAGGCUUUGAAGCAUGGGCGCCAGCCUGUGUGGAGCCGUCCUUGAAAUACCACCCUUUCGGACCUUGAUGUCUAACCGCGUCCCGUCAUCCGGGACCGGGACCCUGCGUGGCGGGUAGUUUGACUGGGGCGGUCGCCUCCCAAAGAGUAACGGAGGCGCGCGAUGGUGGGCUCAGACCGGUCGGAAAUCGGUCGUCGAGUGCAAGAGCAGAAGCCCGCCUGACUGUGACAUCGACGGAUGGAACAGAGACGAAAGUCGGCUCUAGUGAUCCGGUGGUCCCGAGUGGAAGGGCCAUCGCUCAACGGAUAAAAGGUACUCCGGGGAUAACAGGCUGAUACCGCCCAAGAGUCCACAUCGACGGCGGUGUUUGGCACCUCGAUGUCGGCUCAUCACAUCCUGGGGCUGGAGCAGGUCCCAAGGGUAUGGCUGUUCGCCAUUUAAAGUGGUACGUGAGCUGGGUUUAGAACGUCGUGAGACAGUUCGGUCCCUAUCUGCCGUGGGUGUAGGACGCUUGAGAGGAUCUGUCCCUAGUACGAGAGGACCGGGAUGGACGUACCUCUGGUGUACCAGUUGUCGCGCCAGCGGCACCGCUGGGUAGCUAUGUACGGACGGGAUAACCGCUGAAAGCAUCUAAGCGGGAAACCCACCUCAAAACCAGGCGUCCCUGAGAGCCGUGAAAGACCAUCACGUCGAUAGGCCGGGUGUGGAAGUGCAGCAAUGCAUGCAGCUAACCGGUACUAAUCGCUCGAUAGGCUUCGAU
This 2206-nucleotide ribosomal RNA is filed under the name Caenispirillum bisanense. Its description in RNAcentral is "bacterial LSU rRNA". It matches the Rfam family "Bacterial large subunit ribosomal RNA", at positions 588 to 2925 of the family's 2925-position model. Lineage: Bacteria; Pseudomonadati; Pseudomonadota; Alphaproteobacteria; Rhodospirillales; Novispirillaceae. The record is from RNAcentral.